UGCCGUGACCCGGAUAACGUCGGGCAAAGACUUUUGAAAAAAUUUGCGCGUCUUCGACUCAUCUCUGGCGGACUUCUGGGCAUCUAGACAUCUCUUCACUACAAAGCAGCGGAACACCGGCAGGGUGUGAACGCGGCGACCUCGACCGGAUGGCUCCGAUGACUGGUUCGUCAGCGCUGGCCUCGCCACCCGAGCCAGCGGCGCUGUUGACAAAUGUCAGCGCCGGCCGGCCCCGUGACGUCCGGUGUCAUACUGACUGACACCCCAUCACUGCUGACGUCGGUGGGAGCCGCCGAACAACGAACUGACACCGGUCAUCUGACAUCAUCGGGGGGGGCCAUCCGUGUCAUCGCCGGUCACCAUUCUUCAUCGCACGCUUCACCGCUCGGCUGGCACGCGCGCACGCCCGACGUAAGCCGAAGCAAGUCGCCGUCGCGAGGCUGCCGCUGCCGCCGCACUGCUGUAGUCGUCACUCCGCUUCGCCCUGCACGACUUCGCUCGCUCUCUGCUUCGACUGGCCGGCGUUAGGCGCUCGCUGACGUAAGUCGAGACAAGUUCGCCGUCACGAUGCUGCCCGCCGUUGCCUCUCACAGCGCCACCUAGCGGUUGCGGACAAACGCCACCUAGCGUUGUGAACGAUGCGAGCGCCACCUAGCGCUGCGUGCUCUAAAGACAGACGCCAUCUAGCGAGUGAGUGCGGUGAAAGGAAACAAUAGAGUGACUGCGAGGAACAUGAUGAAUGAAAGUGAAUGCGCAAUUGGACCAAACGGGUGAGACAUUUGAUUUUAGAUCCGGACUAUAAAUAAAUAUCGCGGACGGUGCUAAGGUCGGACAUUUCGGAAAAAGAACUCUACUACAAGGACUACAACAAAAUGGGGACAUGGGGAAAAAGUGUAUUGUUUGUGUACUGUUAUAUAAUAGUGUUGCAUUUGACUGUAUUGUGUCGUAUAUUAUGCUAUGUCGUUUAUGUUGCAUUGUGUAUGUGUGUUUGUUGUGUGAUAACUAACGUGUGUUGUACGUUAUAUCAUGCAUCAUAUCGGAAGCAUUCCAAGACGAAAAUCUUCAUUUAAGAUUUUAGCUUUUAGGACCUUGCGUUGUGAUGUAACAAAGUUCAUUCCCAGCCCCCUGCCCUUACUAACAAUGUCCUUUUAUGGUCCUCGUUCCUUACCUGUGACGCCUGUCCUGACCCGCUUCUGAUUGGUGUUAUGAUAUGACGUACAUGUGUGACGUAUGUAUGACGCGUGGUAUAUGUCGCGCCGGAGCGGGCCGAAGCCCCGGCAGUAGCAGUCGCAGUCGCAGUCGGACCGAGUGAGAGCCGCUCCCUCGCCGGUCGUUAUUCUUCACUCGUUCUUUUCGGCUCGUCAUCUCGAUUGAACUCAUUAUCUCGGACAUUCAAAUAUAUCGUGGAAAAGUGAAACA
Amphibalanus amphitrite is the source of this 1419-nucleotide long non-coding RNA. RefSeq lists it as uncharacterized. The record is from RefSeq and is a predicted model, not a curated record. The transcript is spliced from 2 exons. NCBI's taxonomy places the organism in Eukaryota, Metazoa, Arthropoda, Thecostraca, Balanomorpha, Balanidae.